RNAcentral lists this ribosomal RNA (447 nucleotides) under uncultured bacterium. RNAcentral describes it as "bacterial SSU rRNA". It matches the Rfam family "Bacterial small subunit ribosomal RNA", at positions 329 to 793 of the family's 1533-position model. The record is from RNAcentral.
UGCCAGACUCCUACGGGAGGCAGCAGUGGGGAAUAUUGCACAAUGGGGGAAACCCUGAUGCAGCGACGCCGCGUGAGCGAUGAAGUAUUUCGGUAUGUAAAGCUCUAUCAGCAGGGAAGAAAAUGACGGUACCUGACUAAGAAGCCCCGGCUAACUACGUGCCAGCAGCCGCGGUAAUACGUAGGGGGCAAGCGUUAUCCGGAUUUACUGGGUGUAAAGGGAGCGUAGACGGCUGUGCAAGCCAGAUGUGAAAGCCCGGGGCUCAACCCCGGGACUGCAUUUGGAACUGUGUGGCUGGAGUGUCGGAGAGGCAGGCGGAAUUCCUAGUGUAGUGGUGAAAUGCGUAGAUAUUAGGAGGAACACCAGUGGCGAAGGCGGCCUGCUGGACGAUGACUGACGUUGAGGCUCGAAAGCGUGGGGAGCAAACAGGAUUAGAUACCCUAGUAA